GAGGGUACAUCAGCGGCAGACGGGUGAGUAACACGUAGGUGACCUGCCCUAAAGCUGGGGAUAACGGAUGGAAACAUACGCUAAUACCCAAUAGACCUGUGAGGUCGCACUCAUAGGUAAAGCUCCGGCGCUUUAGGAGGGGCCUGCGGCCCAUCAGCUAGUUGGUAGGGUAACGGCCUACCAAGGCGAAGACGGGUAGGGGGUGUGAGAGCACGACCCCCCACAAUGGGACUGAGACACGGGCCAUACUUCUACGGGAGGCAGCAGCAGGGAAUAUUGCACAAUGGACGCAAGUCUGAUGCAGCGACGCCGCGUGGAUGAUGAAGGCCCUCGGGUCGUAAAAUCCUUUUCAGGGGGACGAGGAAGGACGGUACCCCUGGAAUAAGCGUCGGCUAACUACGUGCCAGCAGCCGCGGUAAGACGUAGGACGCAAGCGUUAUCCGGAUUUACUGGGCGUAAAGCGUCUGUAGGCGGUUCGAUAAGUUGGGCGUGAAAGCUCCGGGCUUAACCCGGAGAGGUCGUUCAAUACUGUCGAACUAGAGGACAUCAGAGGAGCAUGGAAUUUCCGGUGUAGCGGUAAAAUGCGCAGAUAUCGGAAGGAACACCAGUGGCGAAGGCGGUGCUCUGGGGGUGGGCCUGACGCUGAGAGACGAAAGCUAGGGGAG
Molecule: ribosomal RNA, 665 nt
Filed under: uncultured organism
Description: bacterial SSU rRNA
Rfam family: Bacterial small subunit ribosomal RNA
Source: RNAcentral